Molecule: ribosomal RNA, 29 nt
Filed under: Physcia adscendens
Lineage: Eukaryota; Fungi; Ascomycota; Lecanoromycetes; Caliciales; Physciaceae
Also listed under: 2 other names
Description: 18S ribosomal RNA
Source: RNAcentral
GAACCUGCGGAAGGAUCAUUACCGAGAGA